Molecule: non-coding RNA, 4409 nt
Organism: Oryzias latipes (Japanese medaka)
Lineage: Eukaryota; Metazoa; Chordata; Actinopteri; Beloniformes; Adrianichthyidae
Source: RefSeq, a predicted model, not a curated record
CAAUAGGAAUUGCUUGUUUAGUUUUGGGUUCCGACCGGGGAGUUGAGAGUGUAACACCGGAAGUGAAGGCUGUGUACUUGUAAUGUCGAAGCAAGGAGUUUAUUAAAAGGUCCCCUGGACAAGGGUAAAACAGACAUUGUCUACAGUGGAGUUUGUGCAGGGAAAGAGACAUUAAACAUGGUGGCAGCGGUGCUUCGAACGACACACCCGGUGCGUGAGUGAAGAAGAAGCGGAGCGGACCGUCCCGUUAAGCUAGGCUAAGCUAGUUAGCCGCGUGGGUGCUAACGGCUUGAAGCGGCAGGACAGACGCCGAAGACAGCAGCACGACAGAAAGUAUAAAAGAUGGAUGGAUUAAAACCACCUGCACAAUGGAGUAUGGACGCAGCAAACCUUCCGAAAGCAUGGAAAACAUGGAAAGAAGAGUUUACACUCUACACGGAACUAGCUCUGCCAGACACGGAGGAAAAGGCAAGAGUGAAGCUGUUUUACUAUCUCAUCGGGGAACGAGGAAGAGAGCUCUGUGGAACGCUCAUCGGAGCUGAGUCAAGAGUAACAGUGAGUGGUCUGAUGGCUAAAAUAGAUGAACACUGUAAUCCCAAAGUUAAUGAAACAGUUGAAAGAUACAGAUUUUUUGCACGCAAUCAGGCUCUGGGAUAAAAUAUUGAUAAAUAUGUUACAGACCUGAGAAUGCUAGCAAGUACCUGCAACUUUGGACAAUUAAGAGACUCAUUGAUCAGAGACAGGAUUGUCUGUGGGACAAGCAGCUCCAGUUGGAGAGAACGGCUGCUCAGAGAAGAGAAUCUCACAUUAGACAAAUGUCUGGAUAUAUGCAGAGCAAUGGAGAUUUCAAGAGAAUACAACAAAACCAUAACAGGACAGACAUUAGAAGAGUUACAUGUAAUAAGACAAAAAGAGAAGAAAAGUCAAGAGAGAGGGAUUUCCUGCAGAUAUUGUGGAAGAACACAUGAAAGAAUCAAAUCAAAAUGCCCAGCAUAUGGAAAAAACUGUAAAAAGUGUGGCAGAGAAAAUCAUUUUGCCAUAACAUGCAGGAGUAAAACCGUCAGGAAGGAAAACACUCCGAGAGAAAAAAGAAAAACGGUCCACACAGUGACAGAGCAAGAUUCAGACUCAGGUGAGGACAUACUGACAGUCACAGCCAUAACACAAACUGCUGAAGAAGUGAACCAGUUUGAUGAAGGAGUCGGGAAAAAGAAGGAACAGCUUUUUGCAGGCAUGAUGAUUGACAACAGCCUGGUACAGUUUCAGAUCGACUGUGGUGCAACAUGCAACGUCAUUCCCAUUAACCUGUUGAACCCGAACGUAAAAAUGGAGCACACGGAUAAGGUGCUAGUGAUGUACAACAAGUCAAAGUUGUGUCCAUUAGGAAAAUGUAAAGUCAAAAUGGUUAAUCCAAAAAACAAUAAAAAAUACAAAGUAGAGUUCCAAGUGGUAGGAGAGGACUGCAAAACACCUCUACUUGGAAGAUCAGCAAGUGAAGCAAUGAAGCUAAUACAAGUCAAAUAUGACAACAUCUACGCUUUGGACAGCUCAGUGACAAAAGCACCUGCAGAAGAAAAUACCUGGUUGUUGGAGGAGAUAAAAACAGAAUUUCAAGAUGUAUUUACAGGAGAUGGAUGCUUAAAAGGUGAAUAUGAGCUGGAAAUAGACCCAACAGUGCAGCCUGUUAAACUGCCGAAACGCAGAGUCCCGGUGUCAAUGAUGAAACCACUGAAGGAAGAACUGAAAAGUCUUGAAGACAGACGGAUCAUAACACCUGUGGAACACAGUACAGAAUGGAUCAGUGGUAUGGUGACUGUGCAGAAACCGAAUGGCAGACCCAGAAUCUGUAUUGACCCAAGACCGCUUAACAAAGCGUUAAAGCGAAGUCAUUUUCCACUACCGACAAUAGAUGACAUACUACCAGAUGUGUCAAAAGCUAAGGUCUUCACAGUAUGUGACGUGAAACAUGGAUUCUGGCAUGUAAAGCUCACGGAGGAGUCAAGUCAGCUCACAACAUUCGCAACACCAUUUGGUCGUUUUCGUUGGCUGAGGAUGCCGAUGGGGAUCAGCCCAGCUCCAGAGGUUUUUCAGCGCAGACUGAUGCAGGCAUUGGAGAACCUACCUGGCACAUACGUCAUCGCUGAUGAUAUUCUGAUCACAGGAAAAGGUGAUACAACUGAGGAAGCGGAGAAAGAUCAUGACAGAAACCUGAGACUUUUUCUAGAAAGAUGCAGAUAGAAAAACAUAAAACUGAAUGCGGAGAAACUCAAACUAAGGAGAAGAGAAGUUCCAUACAUUGGACAUCUGCUCACAGCCGAUGGUCUGAGAGCUGACCCGGAAAAGGUGAGAGCAAUCAAAGAGAUGCCAGCACCGACGGAUGUUAAAGGUGUGCAGAGACUGGUAGGAAUGAUCAACUAUUUGGCAAAAUUUUACAAACAUUUAUCAGAUGACUGUGAACCUCUGAGACAACUUACUCACAAAGACAGCCUGUGGGAAUGGUCAGAUGUGCAAGAAGAUGCAUUUAAAAGACUGAAAGAAAAAAUAACACAAGUCCCAGUUUUAAAAUAUUACAGCCCAGAAGAGGAGUUGACACUGCAGUGUGAUGCCAGUGAGACGGGGUUAGGUGCUGCUCUGACUCAAAAAGGCCGAGACAUGCUGCUAGCCGAUACCUUGAGUAGAGCCUACCUACAAGAAAGCAACAACAAAAGUCAGACAGAGUUGGAGACAGAAUGUGUCAACAUGGUAGAGUAUGUACCUGUCUCAACGGAGAGCAUGGAAAAAAUACGCACAGGAACAAAAACUGACCAUAAACUACAAAUUCUGAUAGAAACAAUACAAAAGGGAUGGCCAACUUGUAAAAAGGAGGUGCCGACAGAAAUAACCCAAUUCCAAUCUAUGCAGGACGAGCUGAGUACACAGGAUGGACUGGUCUUCAAAGGAGAAAGAGUGGUGAUUCCAGACGCGCUGCAGGCGGAAAUAACCCAGCGGAUCCACUCAACACAUAUCGGCACAGAGGGAUGCCUCAGAAGAGCCAGAGACUGCAUUUAUUGGCACGGUAUGAAUGACCACAUCAAAAAAUAUAUCGCAAAAUGUGAUAUAUGCAGAAAAGUGGACGCUAAACAACAAAAAGAGACACUAAGACCACAUGAGCUGACCGACAGACCAUGGACCAAAGUUGGGACAGACUUGUUCAACUUUGACGGUAGAGAGUACCUAAUUACAGUGGAUUACUAUUCCAAUUUCUGGGACAUUGAUCACCUACCAGAUACUAAGUCAAGUACUGUGAUUAGGAAACUGAAAGCUCAUUUCGCACGUCAGGGAAUACCAGAAGUUGUUUUUUCUGACAAUGGGCCAUAGUACAGCUCAACAGAGUUUGCCAGCUUUAGCCAGAAAUGGGACUUUAAACAUAAGACAUCAUCACCUGGUUACCCUCAGAGCAAUGGCAAGGCAGAGUCUGCAGUCAAAACAGCAAAAAGACUCAUGAGAAAAGCCAAACUGGCUGGACAGGAUCCAUAUUUGGCCUUAUUAGAUCACAGAAACACUCCAACACAAGGCUUGGACACAAGUCCAGCACAGAGACUUUUAAGCAGGAGAACAAGAACACUCAUUCCAAUGAGUGACAGUCUUUUACAACCAAAAGUAACAAAGAACAACCAAGGACUGACGAAGAACAGGGAGAGACAAUCUAAAUAUUACAACCGCACAGCAAGAGACAUGGACAAUUUGAACCCAGGAGACUCAGUCAGAGUUCAACCUUUCGAACCACAUGGCUUAUGGGACAAGGCGAGAGUGUGCAAAACACUUGGAGAUCGAUCCUAUGAGGAGGAGAUGGACAAUGGCGGAGGAACCGUCGACAUCUGAGAAGAGCUGUGGAGGUCGACUUAAAAAUACCAUCAACACCAGAACCUGUUAGGCUAGACUCAGGCCGAAGCCAAGGAGACCUACAAAAUACCACCACCAAGUCAGGACGUGUUGUUCACCAGCCAGGAUACCUGAAAGACUAUGUUUGCAGUUAAUAUGUUAUUAUUUGUUUAUAGAGACUUUCUUUGAAAAAAAAAAAAAAAGAGAAGGAGAAAGAAUGUUAUAUUAUUUGGAAUGAAGAAAGCCAUUAGAACAGAAUGUAUGGUUAUUAAAAAAGAAUGUAAUUUUAUUUGGGAGAAAAUAAUUUUAUUUUGGUAGAAAAUAACUUUAUUUUGAAGAACCUGAAAAAUGUGAAUAUUUAAGUUGGAUACUGUUAGAAUCUGAGUUAUUUAAUUUUUUAAAAGAAAAGGGAUGUAGCAAUAGGAAUUGCUUGUUUAGUUUUGGGUUCCGACCGGGGAGUUGAGAGUGUAACACCGGAAGUGAAGGCUGUGUACUUGUAAUGUCGAAGCAAGGAGUUUAUUAAAAGGUCCCCUGGACAAGGGUAAAAC